GAGAUGGUGUUGGACUUAAUUAAUUAGCUCUAGUUGAGCUAUGCCUUGUCAUGGUGGUAGUACUUGGUGUGCGCAGGGCUUCGGCUGUUGUCCUCCAUCGGCCGGCACACGGUGACGCGGGGCUCCUCCCAGAGCCACGCCUUGCUGAUCUCUAACACGUGCUCUUGGACGACCUUAAGGAGCAGGCGGACGCUCUUGUGAUGGUCAUGGUCUCCUGGAGUUCCCACGUCUUCCGGGGUGACGAGCACCAGCUGCUCGAGGACAGGAGCCCUGCGCAGGACGAACCUUUGUAGAAGUUAAUCAUGUUGUUUCUUUAGGAUUAGGAAAGAA
RNAcentral lists this long non-coding RNA (330 nucleotides) under Hordeum vulgare. RNAcentral's name for it is "long non-coding RNA (HVUL_LNC007043)". The record is from RNAcentral. Lineage: Eukaryota; Viridiplantae; Streptophyta; Magnoliopsida; Poales; Poaceae.